RNAcentral lists this ribosomal RNA (1021 nucleotides) under Citrobacter freundii. Its description in RNAcentral is "partial 23S ribosomal RNA". It matches the Rfam family "Bacterial large subunit ribosomal RNA", at positions 1783 to 2801 of the family's 2925-position model. The record is from RNAcentral. Lineage: Bacteria; Pseudomonadati; Pseudomonadota; Gammaproteobacteria; Enterobacterales; Enterobacteriaceae.
AUACCAGCUGGCUGCAACUGUUUAUUAAAAACACAGCACUGUGCAAACACGAAAGUGGACGUAUACGGUGUGACGCCUGCCCGGUGCCGGAAGGUUAAUUGAUGGGGUUAUCCGUAAGGAGAAGCUCUUGAUCGAAGCCCCGGUAAACGGCGGCCGUAACUAUAACGGUCCUAAGGUAGCGAAAUUCCUUGUCGGGUAAGUUCCGACCUGCACGAAUGGCGUAAUGAUGGCCAGGCUGUCUCCACCCGAGACUCAGUGAAAUUGAACUCGCUGUGAAGAUGCAGUGUACCCGCGGCAAGACGGAAAGACCCCGUGAACCUUUACUAUAGCUUGACACUGAACACUGGUCCUUGAUGUGUAGGAUAGGUGGGAGGCUUUGAAGUGUGGACGCCAGUCUGCAUGGAGCCAUCCUUGAAAUACCACCCUUUAAUGGCUGGUGUUCUAACGUGGACCCGUAAUCCGGGUUGCGGACAGUGUCUGGUGGGUAGUUUGACUGGGGCGGUCUCCUCCUAAAGAGUAACGGAGGAGCACGAAGGUUAGCUAAUCCUGGUCGGACAUCAGGAGGUUAGUGCAAAGGCAUAAGCUAGCUUGACUGCGAGAGUGACGGCUCGAGCAGGUGCGAAAGCAGGUCUUAGUGAUCCGGUGGUUCUGAAUGGAAGGGCCAUCGCUCAACGGAUAAAAGGUACUCCGGGGAUAACAGGCUGAUACCGCCCAAGAGUUCAUAUCGACGGCGGUGUUUGGCACCUCGAUGUCGGCUCAUCACAUCCUGGGGCUGAAGUAGGUCCCAAGGGUAUGGCUGUUCGCCAUUUAAAGUGGUACGCGAGCUGGGUUUAGAACGUCGUGAGACAGUUCGGUCCCUAUCUGCCGUGGGCGCUGGAGAAUUGAGGGGGGCUGCUCCUAGUACGAGAGGACCGGAGUGGACGCAUCACUGGUGUUCGGGUUGUCAUGCCAAUGGCAUUGCCCGGUAGCUAAAUGCGGAAGAGAUAAGUGCUGAAAGCAUCUAAGCACGAAACUUGCCCCG